UCCCUUCCACCCUUCAUUAGCGCUACCAGAUCCCUGUCCUGCCCCAUCCCCACCACCCACUCUCCCCACACCGCUUGUGGGCGCUGAAGGAGCCUGACUGCUGUUGUAGGCCAGAGAAUCGACUCCAACCCUCCUGGCCUCUUGGCGUCCGGCAGACACUAGGUGGUCAGUGUGGACAGCAACAGGCACUUGGUGAGUAGGACACUAGGUGGUCAGUGUAGACAGCAACAGGCACUUGGUGAGUAGGACACUAGGUGGUCAGUGUAGACAGCAACAGGCACUUGGUGAGUAGGACACUAGGUGGUCAGUGUAGACAGCAACAGGCACUUGGUGUGUAGGACACUAGGUGGUCAGUGUAGACAACUAACAGACACUUGGUGAGAAGGACUGAACUCAGACACUAGGUGGUCAGUGUGGACAGCAACAGGCACUUGGUGAGUAGGACACUAGGUGGUCAGUGUGGACAGCAACCAACAGACACUUGGUGUGUAGGAGGACAGCAACCAACAGACACUUGGUGUGUAGGAGGACAACGACCAACAGGCACUUGGUGUGUAGGAGGACAACAACCAACAGACACUGGCAUGCUGUGCACCAAAGAAUAACCGACACUGACCGUGUGUGGGGCAGCUGUCUGUCUGUGGUGUGUGGUGUACUGGACACACAGGGGCGACUAUCUGCGAGAAGUGUGGCCAGGGUUGUCUGGCUGAUGGCUGCACAACGCAUUUUCCGUCUUCUUCCAGUUUAGUUGGUGUCGAAGCUUGUUUCCUGCUGGACGUCCACAGCCCCGAGCCUCCUGCUCACACUUCUCUGACAUUGUGUCGCGUGCUGAGCAAGUCGCUAGCCUUUCAUUUCCCGAACAAUUAUAUUGGACUUGUGGGGUUAGGGUUGUGUGGAUGACAACCGUUUGCUCUCCCUGCAGUUAGAGUUCACUUUCUGUACACGAUAGUCACUUUGGCAAUGUGCUGGUACACGUUUUCUGGGCGGAUGGCCGGUUGUGUACAGCUUGUACCACACAGCAAGCGCCUGCAAGUUAUUUGUCUCGAGGACAUAAGUUCUUGACACCAUUGAACUACAUUCGGGACAAACUACCAACAUCCGGGACUACCUGCCUGCCUUCAUUUGAAAAAACCUUUUCACAUGUGGGUCUGGUCUACGCAUCCACUCUUGCUGAGACCUGUCCACGCUUGUUGAUUCCACUCGAACUCUGACAUUUUCUAGCUUUUGAAAAACCUGUCUUCAGUCUAAUUUAUUCCAUAGAAGGAAAAAGUUGUGGACUUGUCUAGAGCACUGGUGUGCUGCAAGAUCGCACACACUGCUUUUACUGUCACGUGAUCACGUGUUUCACUGGUGAAACAGUAGCCAAGGGGACUUUUCUAAAUACCACGAGGGAGGAAUCUUCAGACCAUCAGGCCACGUUAGCACUUCAAGGGUCAUUGAGACUUCGUUGUGACCAAGCUCUCCUCACCUUGUGUCUACACAAACGUCACCGCUACGUUACAGUCUCUCCUUACAUCGGGCCUCAAGUAGAAUCGAACUGAUAUCUGGAGAACUGAGAUCACAUGACUGCUCUUGGACUGAACACAAUCCGGUCUCGUGCAAGUGAACACCACACUUGUAACAAGAUAACUUUGUAUCCAAGUAACGCACAAAGUAGUGACGUGCAAAUGUGAACAACACACGUUACACCAAACAUUCUCCCAAACAGCUGAGUACAGUGAUCAAAGUGCCAGUGACACGUCACCCCACCAGUAAACUAAGACAGGAGCGCAUAGCCCAGUGACGUCACCGGCAAGUGACGCGACCUGACAUAGCAGGAUCGUCCCGUGACGUCACCAGCACCAUGCCAGGGUCCACGGAAACCCUGCCCAACACCAUUCGUGUCAAGCUGGUGAAACAGAAACAUGGCGGCCUGGGCUUCCUGGUCAAGCAGCGCACACAGAAGCCCUUCGUCGUCGUGGCUGACCUGGUGGCCGGUGGCAUCGCAGAGGAGAGCGGCCUUGUGCAGGUUGGAGAUAUCAUCCUCCGCAUCAACGACAUCAACCUGGCCGACAUGAGCUACGACAGCGCCAUCGAGAUCCUGAAGGCGGUGCCGACAGAUGCUCCAGUCGUGCUGCUGCUGCGGGGUCCCGAGGGCUACACCACCCACCUGCAGACCACCUUCCUGGAGAGUGGCUUGCCCCACACCGUGCGCGUCACGCGCGCCGUGCAAGACUCGCUGAUGGGGCGCCUGCGCAAGACCUUUUCCUCCAACGGCUCGUCGUCGCCGGUGAAGACUAUCAAGCGCCUGUGUAAGGGGAGCGAUGACAACGCCGACAAUAAGAACGCUGGAGCUGCCGAUGUGGACACGCUUGACGUCAUCGAGGCCACCCACACUGCGUGUCCGGAUGACGUCAGCAGCAGUCCAGGUCUUGCCCUCCAUGACACCAUGGCCGUUGUGACAAACGAUGACAAAAAAUCAGUUGAAGACACCAUCCUGGAACACGAGAUCAGGGGUUCGCCAAAGAUUGUCUUGACGACACCAAACGUUCCGGACAAACGAUCCAACGGCGAAAUGUCGGAAUUGGGAUCUGUGAGUGGACAACAGGCCAUUGGCCACAGCCGCAAGGCCAUCGAGAUCGUCCAGGACAACGACCAGAUUACCGUCGUCGUCAAGGGCGACGUGCGCAUCGAGAGCUCCAGCGACGGCCAUCAAACACCCAAGCGCUUUGUCAUCAGCAGCAACCCUCGCCCUGCGGCCCACAGUGCAGACGACAACUACAAUCACAAACCUAGUAACGGCCAUCUGCAACCGCAAGAUCAGAGUUCGCCGGAGAAUCAAACGGACGGCGAGGCCUCGGACACAGACGAGGGGAGAAUGGGGGGAGCCCGCAACAGACACAGCGGAGGGGCGCAGAGAGGUGAGCGGCGUGGGUCGGCCACCAGCCCCAAGCGGUUCGCCAAAGUCCACAACCUGCUGGACAACAAGACCUUUGUGGACGUCCUGCACCAGAAAGUCAUCGAGAACAUGACUUGCACCCCAGAGAGGUGCAUGGGGUCGUUGAUGAACACAGCCGUGAAGACAGGGCCACCCAGGAGAGGGGAGGACCUGCUGGUGCAAGCCAAGGACUUCAUUGAGCAGUACUUCGCCUCCAACAAACGUCUCCACACGCCUGCGCACCACAAGCGGUGGGCGGAAGUGCUGGCGUCAGUGGAGCGCAGCGGGUCGUACGAGCUGACGACGGCGGAGCUGAGUUUCGGCGCCAAGACUGGCUGGCGCAACGCCCCCCGCUGCAUCGGUCGCAUCCAGUGGAGCAAACUGCAGGUGUUCGAUGCCCGCCACAUCACCACUGCCCGCGGCAUGUACGAAGCCCUGUGCAACCACAUCAAGUACGGCACCAACAAAGGCAAUCUCAGAUCCGCCAUUACCAUCUUCCCUCAAAGGCAGAAGGGCAGGGGCGACUACCGUGUGUGGAACUCUCAGCUGAUUAUGUAUGCAGGGUACAGACAGCCAGACGGCACCGUCAUCGGCGAUCCGAAGUCCGUGGAAUUUACAGAGGUGGUGAUGAAGAUGGGGUGGCGGCCUAAGGGCACCAUGUUCGACGUCCUGCCCCUGGUUCUGCAAGCGGGUGGCCACGACCCCGAGUUUUUCGAGAUACCACCGGAACUGAUCCUGGAGGUUCCUAUUAAACAUCCCAAAUACCCGUGGUUUGCGGAGCUGGGGUUGAGGUGGUACGCCCUGCCUGCCGUGUCCGCCAUGCUGUUUGACUGUGGUGGCCUGGAGUUCACUGCCUGCCCCUUCAAUGGCUGGUACAUGGGAACUGAGAUAGGUGCCCGGGACUUUUGUGACACCAACAGAUUCAACAUUCUGGAGAAUGUGGCGCUCAAGAUGGGGCUGGACAUCCGCAAAACCUCUUCGCUGUGGAAGGACCGAGCUUUGGUGGAGAUCAACAUCGCGGUGCUGCACAGCUAUCAGACAGCUGGAGUGACCAUUACUGACCACCACGCCGCGGCUGAGUCGUUCAUGAAGCACCUGGACAACGAGCAGCGCCUGCGGGGCGGGUGUCCAGCUGACUGGGUGUGGGUGGUGCCACCUAUGAGUGGCUCACUGACGCCAGUCUUUCACCAAGAAAUGCUGUGCUACAAACUAAAGCCUUCCUACGAAUAUCAGGAAGACCCCUGGAAAACACACGUGUGGAAGAAAGAUCGGGACAAGCCCAAGUCUUCUGACAGACCCAAGCGCAAGUUUGGUUUCCGGGAACUAGCCAGGGCCGUCAAGUUCUCCGCCAAGUUGAUGGGACGCGCGCUGGCUCGGCGGGUGAAGUGCACCAUCCUGUACGCCACAGAGACGGGCAAGUCCGAGCGCUUCGCCACCACACUGUGCGAGAUCUUCAAGCACGCCUUUGACGCUAAGGUGGUCUGUAUGGAGGCCUAUGACGUCACGUCUCUGGAGCACGAGUCACUUGUUCUCAUCGUGACCAGUACGUUUGGCAACGGAGACCCACCAGAAAACGGCGAGGCUCUGGCCAAAAGCUUGUUUGAAAUGAAACACCCGGAAAAAUCGGGCAGUACCAGCUUCUCCUCAUCGUCCUAUAUCCGCAUGAGUGUCUCGAGUCCCCGCAACAGUCGCACUGACGAGCGUGAGACCAGUGACGAUGACAAACUGACGAUGGAGACAGGUCCUCUGAGCAAUGUCAGGUACUCUGUGUUCGCCCUGGGAUCACGUGCCUAUCCCCACUUCGCAGCCUUUGGCCACUACAUGGACAAAAUUCUCAGUGAACUGGGUGCAGAGGUCAUCCACCCGCUGAUCGAAGGCGACGAGCUGUGCGGGCAGGAGGAGAGUUUCCGCAAGUGGGCGGAGCAAGUCUUCCAGGCUGCGUGCGAAACCUUUUGUCUGGGUGAUGAUGUCAACCUGUCAGAAGCCACAGGAGCGCUGUCCAAUGCCGACCACUGCUGGACAGCCUCCACAUUUCGCAUCACACCGCUGGACAACGCCACAGACGCCGACAUCAGCAAGGCUCUCUCAAAACUUCACGGGAAGACUGUGCUACCCUGCCGCCUGACCGAGAGAAUUCAGCUGCAGUCACCGCAGUCAGGGAGACAAACUAUUCUUGUGAAACUGAAUACCCAGGAUUCCUCAGAACUCCAAUACCUACCUGGCGACCAUCUAGGAAUAUUCCCUUCUAAUCCUCCCGAACUCGUGGAAGCCAUCUUGGCUCGCCUGCACGGUGCCCCGGCCCCUGAGCAAGUCGUCAAAACAGAAUUUCUACAAGAAGUAUCCUCAGCUCUGGGAUCCUCCAAAAACUGGACACCAUUUGAGAAAAUGCCCGUAUGCUCCAUGCGAACAGCACUGACACACUUCCUGGAUGUCACCACGCCACCCACUCAAACCUUUCUACAGCUGCUGGCCACCCUGGCCACACGGGACAUGGACAAGGACCGCCUGGAGCAGCUGGCAAAGGACUCAAAGGCGUAUGAAGAGUGGCGGUAUGAGCUUAACCCCAAUCUCCUGGAAGUGCUGGACCAGUUUCCCUCUCUCAAAGUUCCACCUUCGCUGGUGAUGACGCAGCUUCCGCUUCUGCAGCAACGGUUCUACAGCAUCAGUUCUUCGCCUCAGGAAUGUGUGGGAGAAAUUCAUGCAACCAUCGCUGUUGUUCGAUACAGAACACAAGGUGGCGCCGGACCUAUACACGAAGGUGUGUGUUCCGGCUGGCUGAACACGUGUGCCAUGGGGGAAACCGUUCCGUGCACCGUGCGAGCAGCACCAGCCUUCCGCCUACCCGAGGACCAGACGCUGCCCAUCAUUAUGGUGGGGCCUGGUACCGGCAUAGCGCCCUUCCGAAGUUUCUGGCAACAGAGGAAGAUUGACAUGGACAUGAAACCCUUGCCAUCUCAUGGAGAACGCCGAGGUUGGGGUGAGAUGUACAUUUAUUUCGGAUGCCGACAAGCCUCCAUGGACGACAUUUACCGAGACGAAAUUAACCUGAUGAAAUCCUUGAAUGUCUUGACUGAAGACUACUUAGCUUUGUCUCGUGAAGAAGGAAAACCAAAGGUGUACGUGCAAGACAUCCUGUACAGCAAUGCAGCAGCCACGUUUGAGACAGUGGUCAAGCGAGGAGGCCAUUUCUAUGUUUGCGGUGAUGUCUCCAUGGCCAACGAUGUGACAAAGACACUGGAACACAUCCUGUGUCAGCUGGGAAACAUGGAGCCGGACAAGGCCAAGAACUUUGUCCUCAAGCUGAAGAAUGCCAACAGGUUCCAUGAGGAUAUCUUCGGGGUCAGCAUUCAGCGUGGCACUGAAGUUGGGGACAAACCCAGUGAGCACACGCGCAGCGCGUGGAAGUUCAUUGACGUCACAGGCAAGCCGGCCACCCGUGAAGUAGUCCAGGCAAUGCCUGCACCAGAGAAGAAAAUGACUGUCGGAAAGCCACGCGCACCAGUGAAAAACGUUUUCAACCAACACAAGGAUCCAUAAGUACUCAUCUUUUCUAACAUUAUUUCAGGGCACAUCCUCCCGUGUUCUUCCUUCCUUUUGUAUGUUUAAGGGAUCUUCAUGUACUCUUCCUUCCUAACAUGUGGACUGCUGCAACACGUUUGUCUAAUAAUAUUUGUGCAUGAGUGAAUUGCUACUGGUCUUGUCAGGGUUAGGAUCACCAUAAGGUGACAUGCAGCUAUCUAUGGGUGAGGAGUAGAUACUGGCACUUUUUCAGUUUAACGGCUAUUCUGAACAACGCUGAACGUGUUUUGCAGAAUUUAGUAAAAUUGUCAUGGUAACAGAUUUGUAAAGAGUAAAGGUUGAAGCGAUGGAUCACACUACACAUUUUUAAAUACAAAAGUCUGAGAAUCAUCUGAUCUACACAACACAAGGUUGAGAACUGUCCAAAUUAUAUUUACAGAGGACACAAGGUUGAGAACUGUCCAUGUUACACAUUUUGAAACAAAAGAAUUACAAGAAUGUGCAUUAGAGGUGUUUUCAAGUUUAUAUGGCAUAUAGAAUGAUUUGUCUAUUAUGCAUCUUAUUAUAUUGAUAUUAUUAUUGAAACUACAGAAUUAUUUAUUAUAACUACCAUAACAUGCUUAUUAGUAGAAGGAAACGCUAUUUGAUUCAGAUGUCACAUGGACAAAAGUCUGUGUAUGACAGAUACUGUGUGCUGUCAACCACAGGUGCUCUAACAGAAGUAGCCUCCCAGCCUGCAAGAAAUCAUGGGUUCGUUAUUGGACCAAUCCGAGUCCAGAUGUGGGUCCCUCGCGGGAAACUAAGUCUGAACCCAGCGGGAUUUGAAAGUGGUAUCGUCAAGGAACCCAGGCGGCUGUACCCGUUUACAACCGUCAUUUCCCGUGAAAGCCCCGUUUGUAGGCCGCAUUGAAACCUUCAAAGCCCCGCACGCACCCGUCCCUCAGUCUCACACCCCUUUACCACCGCUAGUACACAGGCUAGCUAGCGGAAGUACCAUGUGCGAGGGCAAAGGUUAGCUACAGUUAAGACCGGCCGGUUACAUCAAUAUUCCACAAAAAGUACUACAAUGGUUAUUUACAGUAGAACCUCGGAUUACAAACAUAAUUCGUGCUCGUAAUUCAAAUCACUCGUAUAUCGAAGCAAAUUUUCACGUGAGAAAUGUUUAAAAUGCAGACGAUUCGUUUCAGAACCCCAAAAUAUUUAUUCAUGCCAUACUAUGCCUCACAAUACUAUGGAUGCCACUUCUAUCAAACCAUUCCGUUUGUCUUAAAACUUUCUUUGUUUUCUGUACAUGGCAGAUUGCUGACGAGGUCGGUGCACAGGGCCGUUGCCCUCUCCCAGAUUACAUUCUCGGUGACAGAAUCACCUGCUAUAGUUGCUUCUCGUUUAUCCGCACAAGAAGCAACUUUUUCUUCAUCUUGCAGAACUCGUGGCCGUUGCUUUGAUACUCUGGUGACUCCUUUUCCAGCAUCUACCCACCUUAUCUCUCCUUCAAUGUGCUGCAGAUCGUUGACGUUACACUUUCGCGAACUCUGACCCUCAUACCUCGUUCGUGCUUUUCUAUUAUUUCAUUCUUAAUUUCCAUCAGAAUACGUCCUCCUAACCCUAAUCCUCCUCUCAGCCUUUUUCUGGGCGAGGCCCAUUGUUUCCGUGCAGACGCACGUGGUUGCAAUUGGCUCUAACGAUCAUGUGAUGGUGACUGUGAGAGCGAGGCAUGCCAAGUGAAGUCCAUCGUGAGAGAAUUACCCACAAUCCAUCAGCGAGAGAGGGGUGGGGAGGAGAGAGCUCACGUGAUGCUCGUAUUGCUCAAUUAUGCUCGUUUACCGAGUUUACACAUUUUUUUUAAUGUUAGUCUUGCAAAGCACUCACAGACGAGGUCACUGGUAAUCCGAGGUUCCACUGUAAGAUCCUAAAUUAUUUAUGUAUGACUAUCCACUGUUAAAAGAGUUGUUUUAUAACAUCUUUCACACGAGUUUUAAUCAGAAUCACUUGAGAGAUCGGCGGUGUUUGUCUCGACAUGCAGUACGAACUAAUCCUUUCAGUCUGUGAAAGGGUCAAAGUGACCAGAGUUGGUCUAACCCGGUGAACCACUUACAUGCGGGCAAAGGAAGUGUGCGACAAGAUCAUGUUUCAAAUGGCCAGCGAAUCCGAGCAUGGCAACAUGAUUGCGGAAUAAAAGUCCGACAUACGGGUCCUCAUCAUCCCUCAGGUCAUGACCCGUCUCAAGUUCCGUCACUCCGCGUGUUCGCCUCUCUGUCCUUUGCUGGACCCUGCAUUUCUCCGCCUCUCUUGCAGGCUGGCUGGUCUGUCAUUUUGUGAUAACAUGUUUGAAGAAGACAGCGGGCUAGGAUAAGAUCCACCUCAGAUUGCCUCACAUCAGACGCGCAUUCAUUUGGAACACAAACCACGUGACUCAGUCCCAGAGGAGAAGUGAGAUGAGUCUUCAACAAGAUCUUUGUGGUUUUGAAGACAAGAAAUGACUCAAAUAGUACCUACCACACAUAAAGUUGCUCACAUUAUUAUACUGAGCUGACAAAUGAUGUCUUGUAAAAUUAUUGUACCAAUGUUUUGUUUCAUUUUUCGCUCUGCUUUACUUGUGUCUUGCUACUGACCUUUGCCAUGAACGACUUGUCUACAACUGUCCUAGUCUGCUUGUUCCUGGAGUAAAUCUUUCUGUACAUCAAAUACAUUUACCAGCAUGUGUGUACAUGUGACUGUACUCAUCUACAGCUGCAAAACAGAACUUUUAAUUUGCGUUGUUAAUAAUAAUGUGAACUUAAAACGACCAAAGGUAGAUGGCGCUCUCUGCGCAGACCAAUAAUGAUAGAUGAAAGAUAACAGGUAGUCGACAGUGAGGUACUACAGACACACUGAACAACAUAAAGAUGAGGUACAAGAUAACAGUAGACAGUGAGGUACAAUAGACACACUAACAACAUAAAGAUGAGGUACAAGAUAACAGUAGACAGUGAGGUACUAUAGACACACU
This 9425-nucleotide unclassified non-coding RNA is filed under the name Pomacea canaliculata. RNAcentral describes it as "nitric oxide synthase, brain-like, transcript variant X4". The record is from RNAcentral. Lineage: Eukaryota; Metazoa; Mollusca; Gastropoda; Architaenioglossa; Ampullariidae.